This 468-nucleotide ribosomal RNA is filed under the name uncultured bacterium. Its description in RNAcentral is "partial 16S ribosomal RNA". It matches the Rfam family "Bacterial small subunit ribosomal RNA", at positions 28 to 507 of the family's 1533-position model. The record is from RNAcentral.
GACGAACGCUGGCGGCGUGCUUAACACAUGCAAGUCGAACGGAAAGGCCCUGCUUUUGUGGGGUGCUCGAGUGGCGAACGGGUGAGUAACACGUGAGUAACCUGCCCUUGACUUUGGGAUAACUUCAGGAAACUGGGGCUAAUACCGGAUAGGAGCUCCUGCUGCAUGGUGGGGGUUGGAAAGUUUCGGCGGUUGGGGAUGGACUCGCGGCUUAUCAGCUUGUUGGUGGGGUAGUGGCUUACCAAGGCUUUGACGGGUAGCCGGCCUGAGAGGGUGACCGGCCACAUGGGGACUGAGAUACGGCCCAGACUCCUACUGGAGGCAGCAGUGGGGAAUAUUGCACAAUGGGCGGAAGCCUGAUGCAGCAACGCCGCGUUCGGGAUGACGGCCUGCGGGUUGUAAACCGCUUUCGCCUGUGACGAAGCGGGAGUGACGGUAAUGGGUAAAGAAGCACCGGCUAACUACGUG